This 458-nucleotide ribosomal RNA is filed under the name uncultured bacterium. RNAcentral describes it as "bacterial SSU rRNA". It matches the Rfam family "Bacterial small subunit ribosomal RNA", at positions 8 to 468 of the family's 1533-position model. The record is from RNAcentral.
AGAGUUUGAUCCUGGCUCAGAUUGAACGCUGGCGGCAUGCCUUACACAUGCAAGUCGAACGGUAACAGCACUUCGGUGGCUGACGAGUGGCGAACGGGUGAGUAAUACAUCGGAACGUGCCCGAGAGUGGGGGAUAACGCAGCGAAAGCUGUGCUAAUACCGCAUACGAUCUACGGAUGAAAGCAGGGGACCGCAAGGCCUUGCGCUCAUGGAGCGGCCGAUGGCAGAUUAGGUAGUUGGUGGGAUAAAAGCUUACCAAGCCGACGAUCUGUAGCUGGUCUGAGAGGACGACCAGCCACACUGGGACUGAGACACGGCCCAGACUCCUACGGGAGGCAGCAGUGGGGAAUUUUGGACAAUGGGCGAAAGCCUGAUCCAGCCAUGCCGCGUGCAGGAUGAAGGCCUUCGGGUUGUAAACUGCUUUUGUACGGAACGAAAAGGUCUUUUCUAAUAAAGAA